GUAGGGUGCGAGCGUUAAUCGGAAUUACUGGGCGUAAAGCGUGCGCAGGCGGAUUGUUAAGCAAGAUGUGAAAUCCCCGGGCUUAACCUGGGAAUGGCAUUUUGAACUGGCAGUCUAGAGUGCGUCAGAGGGGGGUGGAAUUCCACGUGUAGCAGUGAAAUGCGUAGAUAUGUGGAGGAACACCAAUGGCGAAGGCAGCCCCCUGGGAUGACACUGACGCUCAUGUACGAAAGCGUGGGUAGCAAACAGGAUUAGAUACCCUGGUAGUCCACGCCCUAAACGAUGUCAACUGGUUGUUGGGGGAGUGAAAUCCCUUAGUAACGAAGCUAACGCGUGAAGUUGACCGCCUGGGGAGUACGGUCGCAAGAUUAAAACUCAAAGGAAUUGACGGGGACCCGCACAAGCGCUGGAUGAUGUGGAUUAAUUCGAUGCAACGCGAAAAACCUUACCUACCCUUGACAUGUCCAGAAUCCUGCAGAGAUGCGGGAGUGCCCGAAAGAAUUGGAACACAGGUGCUGCAUGGCUGUCGUCAGCUCGUGUCGUGAGAUGUUGGGUUAAGUCCCGCAACGAGCGCAACCCUUAUCAUUAGUUGCUACGCAAGGGCACUCUAAUGAGACUGCCGGUGACAAACCGGAGGAAGGUGGGGAUGACGUCAAGUCCUCAUGGCCCUUAUGGGUAGGGCUUCACACGUCAUACAAUGGUCGGUACAGAGGGUUGCCAAGCCGCGAGGUGGAGCCAAUCCCAGAAAGCCGAUCGUAGUCCGGAUUGUUCUCUGCAACUCGAGAGCAUGAAG
Molecule: ribosomal RNA, 793 nt
Filed under: Betaproteobacteria (b-proteobacteria)
Lineage: Bacteria; Pseudomonadati; Pseudomonadota
Description: bacterial SSU rRNA
Rfam family: Bacterial small subunit ribosomal RNA
Source: RNAcentral